RNAcentral lists this ribosomal RNA (300 nucleotides) under uncultured beta proteobacterium. RNAcentral describes it as "bacterial SSU rRNA". It matches the Rfam family "Bacterial small subunit ribosomal RNA", at positions 114 to 415 of the family's 1533-position model. Lineage: Bacteria; Pseudomonadati; Pseudomonadota; Betaproteobacteria. The record is from RNAcentral.
UGCAUCGGAACGUGUCCCGCAGUGGGGGAUAACGCCGCGAAAGCGGCGCUAAUACCGCAUACGCUCUGCGGAGGAAAGCGGGGGACCUGAGAGGGCCUCGCGCUAUGGGAGCGGCCGAUGUCCGAUUAGCUAGUUGGUGGGGUAAUGGCUUACCAAGGCGACGAUCGGUGGCUGGUCUGAGAGGAUGAUCAGCCACACUGGGACUGAGACACGGCCCAGACUCCUACGGGAGGCAGCAGUGGGGAAUUUUGGACAAUGGGGGCAACCCUGAUCCAGCCAUGCCGCGUGCGGGAAGAAGGC